AUACGGAGGAUCCGAGCGUUAUCCGGAUUUAUUGGGUUUAAAGGGAGCGUAGGCGGACUAUUAAGUCAGCUGUGAAAGUUUGCGGCUCAACCGUAAAAUUGCGGUUGAUACUGGUCGUCUUGAGUGCAGUAGAGGUAGGCGGAAUUCGUGGUGUAGCGGUGAAAUGCUUAGAUAUCACGAAGAACUCCGAUUGCGAAGGCAGCUUACUGGACUGUAACUGACGCUGAUGCUCGAAAGUGUGGGUAUCAAACAGGAUUAGAUACCCUGGUAGUCCACACAGUAAACGAUGAAUACUCGCUGUUUGCGAUAUACGGCAAGCGGCCAAGCGAAAGCAUUAGGUAUUCCACCUGGGGAGUACGCCGGCAACGGUGAAACUCAAAGGAAUUGGCGGGG
Molecule: ribosomal RNA, 393 nt
Filed under: uncultured bacterium
Lineage: Bacteria
Description: partial 16S ribosomal RNA
Rfam family: Bacterial small subunit ribosomal RNA
Source: RNAcentral